GAUGAACGCUGGCGGCGCGCCUAACACAUGCAAGUCGAACGAUUAAAGCACCUUCGGGUGUGUAUAAAGUGGCGAACGGCUGAGUAACACGUGGGCAACCUGCCCCUUUCAUUGGGAUAGCCACGGGAAACCGCGGAUAAUACCGAAUACUUCGAGACUUCCGCAUGGAAGACUCGAGAAAGCUCCGGCGGAGAGGGAUGGGCCCGCGGCCUGUUAGCUUGUUGGUGGGGUAACGGCCUACCAAGGCAAUGAUGGGUAGCUGGGUUGAGAGACCGACCAGCCAGAUUGGGACUGAGACACGGCCCAGACUCCUACGGGAGGCAGCAGUGGGGAAUCUUGCACAAUGGGCGAAAGCCUGAUGCAGCGACGCCGCGUGCGGGAUGAAGGCCUUCGGGUUGUAAACCGCUUUCAGCAGGGACGAGGCGAAAGUGACGGUACCUGCAGAAGAAGCCCCGGCUAACUACGUG
RNAcentral lists this ribosomal RNA (467 nucleotides) under uncultured bacterium. Its description in RNAcentral is "partial 16S ribosomal RNA". It matches the Rfam family "Bacterial small subunit ribosomal RNA", at positions 28 to 507 of the family's 1533-position model. The record is from RNAcentral.